Molecule: small RNA, 864 nt
Filed under: Drosophila pseudoobscura pseudoobscura
Lineage: Eukaryota; Metazoa; Arthropoda; Insecta; Diptera; Drosophilidae
Description: GA32327
Source: RNAcentral
ACCAUCUCUAGUACAGGACUGGCAGAGGCAGAUCCGAGCCGAACCCAUUUUCAUUUCAUAAUUUUGAUUCGAGUGCGAAAGGUUAAAGGCAAGCUAAGCAGUUUUCGAGAGUACUUGUGAAAUUUCUGGGCGCUUAAAUUAAGGAUUUAAUUUAAGCGCCUGGAAUGAAAUAUCCCAGCACUCGUACGCACAAUAAACAAAUCGGUUUUUCGACUUGGGCCUUCGCUUACGCAACGCGUGGAUCAAAUUGCACCGCAUCCGCAGGGGCACCACCCAGCAACAAGCCAAAUGUUUUCACGAAUGACAUGAAGGGCGGGGCUCGCCCUGCAAGAAGGAUCGACAGGGGCGGGGGCAAGGAUGAGAAGGACUCGCAAGGGCAAGGACCUUCUAUAGCUGCAUACACCUAGCUUGCCUUGGAGCGCUACAACGACAACAAUUUCUUCCGUUUGACACCAGAUUUGGCCGGAGGAUAGCCACGGCUUGCUCCGUUUUGAUGGGCUUCGGUUCUGCGUGUGGCGAUCUUGCAUUGCUCUUGCGUGAGAGGUCAUGCGAGAAUUCUACAAGAUCCCUACACGUUAAGUGCAGCCCAUCAACACGCAGCAAACGGUGGACAUUCUUAUGCCAAAUUUGGUGUCAAAGGAAAAAAUGUAGGCGUUGUUCCGCUGCCAAAGCAAGCUAAGUUCGUACAGAUAUAGAAGGGCCUCAGCCACAGCGAUACCAGAGACGAAUGCCCCCCCCCUUUGGCUACGCAGCAGAUGAACAUCGUAGAUGGCGAUCGCCGCAGCAACAGCAACAACAGCAGAGACUGUGGAUAUACGAAAUCAUUGAAAUUGUCAUGAAAUAAAUAUGUAUGUACAAACUGUA